RNAcentral lists this ribosomal RNA (433 nucleotides) under uncultured bacterium. RNAcentral's name for it is "partial 16S ribosomal RNA". It matches the Rfam family "Bacterial small subunit ribosomal RNA", at positions 29 to 507 of the family's 1533-position model. The record is from RNAcentral.
AACGAACGCUGGCGGCAUGCCUAACACAUGCAAGUCGAACGAGACCUUCGGGUCUAGUGGCGCACGGGUGCGUAACGCGUGGGAACCUGCCCUUAGGUUCGGAAUAACUCCCCGAAAGGGGUGCUAAUACCGGAUAAUGUCUUCGGACCAAAGAUUUAUCGCCUUUGGAUGGGCCCGCGUUGGAUUAGCUAGUUGGUAGGGUAAAAGCCUACCAAGGCGACGAUCCAUAGCUGGUCUGAGAGGAUGAUCAGCCACACUGGGACUGAGACACGGCCCAGACUCCUACGGAAGGCAGCAGUGGGGAAUAUUGGACGAUGGGCGAAAGCCUGAUCCAGCAAUGCCGCGUAAGUGAUGAAGGCCUUAGGGUUGUAAAGCUCUUUUACCCGGGAUGAUAAUGACAGUACCGGGAGAAUAAGCUCCGGCUAACUCCGUG